UACAGAGGGUGCAAGCGUUAAUCGGAAUUACUGGGCGUAAAGCGUGCGUAGUCGGUUAUCUAAGUCGGGUGUGAAAUCCCCGGGCUCAACCUGGGAAUUGCAUUCGAUACUGGAUAGCUAGAGUGUGGUAGGGGAGAUCGGAAUUCCUGGUGUAGCGGUGAAAUGCGCAGAUAUCAGGAGGAACACCGGUGGCGAAGGCGGGUCUCUGGGCCGAUACUGACGCUGAGGAGCGAAAGCGUGGGGAGCGAACAGG
RNAcentral lists this ribosomal RNA (253 nucleotides) under uncultured bacterium. RNAcentral describes it as "partial 16S ribosomal RNA". It matches the Rfam family "Bacterial small subunit ribosomal RNA", at positions 524 to 776 of the family's 1533-position model. The record is from RNAcentral.